Molecule: RNA transcript, 1090 nt
Organism: Nycticebus coucang (slow loris)
Lineage: Eukaryota; Metazoa; Chordata; Mammalia; Primates; Lorisidae
Gene name: deoxyribonuclease TATDN1-like
Exons: 1
Source: RefSeq, a predicted model, not a curated record
AACAGUGGCAAGCACUUCAAUUUUUCACAGAACACUAAAAUGUAACAUGAGAUAAAGUAUGAGGGUUCCGUCGGGGAGGCCCUGCGUCUGCGGUCAUGACUCGCUUCAAGUUUAGCGAUAUUGGUAUCAACUUGACAGAUCCUAUGUUCAGAGGAAUUUAUAGGGAGGUUCAAAAGCAUCCAGGUAAAUGUUUCUUUUAUUAAGAUGACUUACAGGAUGUAAUAGGGAGAGCUGUCCAGAUUGGCGUUAGAAAGUUUAUGAUUACUGGUGGAAGUCUACAAGACAAUAAAGAUGCACUGCAUUUGGCACAGACAAAUGAUAUGUUUUUCAGUACAGUCGGAUGUCAUCCUACAAGAUGUGGUGAAUUUGAAAAGAAUAACCUGGAUCUUUACUUAAUGGAAUUGCUAAAUCUUGCUGAAAACUACAAAGGGAAAGUUGUGGCAAUAGGAGAAUGUGGACUUGAUUUUGACCGACUACAGUUUUUUCCCAAAGAUACUCAGCUCAAAUACUUUGAAAAACAGUUUGAACUGUCAGAACAAACAAAAUUACCAAUGUUUCUUCACUGUCGAAACUCACAUGCUGAAUUUUUGGACAUAAUGAAAAGAAACAGAGAUAGGUGUGUAGGGGGAGUGGUACAUUCAUUUGAUGGCACCAAGGAAGCAGCAGCAGCUUUGAUUGACUUGGAUCUUUAUAUAGGGUUUAACGGAUGCUCUUUGAAAACUAAGGCUAAUUUGAAAGUUUUGAAGUCAAUACCUAGUGAAAAAUUAACGAUUGAGACAGAUGCACCUUGGUGUGGUGUCAAAAGUAUACAUGCUGGAUCAAAAUAUGUAAAAACUUCGUUUCCUACCAAAAAGAAAUGGAAAAAUGGGCACUGUUCAAAAGACAGAAAUGAGCCCUGCCAUAUAAUUCAAAUACUGGAGAUAAUGUCAGCAGUAAAAGAUGAGGAUCCACUGGAAUUAGCCAAUACACUAUAUAACAACACUAUUAAAGUAUUUUUUCCUGGUAUUUAAUUGGCAUGUGUCUCCCAUUUUCUAUCAUGUAUAUAAAAUUUCAUGGUAAAAGUUGAUAGUUUCAAUAAAGAAAUUCUCUG